CGCGAGUCCUAGGGUUUCGAAGUAACAGGCGGCGCAAUCCGGGUAAUCUAUCGCAGACAAACAACAAGCAUACAAUAAGUACUCAUCUAAUGCACAGGUAAAACUCGAACAAGAGAUCGAACCAGAUAGUUUCAACUUAAGAACUCCGGUUGCAAAGAAAGAACGAAAAACAAACGGCGGAAGAAAACAACUCGGUUCUAGCAAGUUGAAACUAGGUCAAAUUUUACUGUAGCAAAAACUUGUUCAAGUUGAUUAAACGGAACGGCGGUUUCGAGACGAAACUCCAGGCGCUUGAAUCACCUGAUUCCGAUAAAUGAGCGAAAAGAAAGACUAGAAAGAAGAUCGGAUCUGAGAUCGCGAUCGCGGAAUAAAUCCGGCGAAAAGAAAAAGAAGAACGGUUAAACGAAUGGACGUCGUUAACCUAGAAGAAUUCGGUGAUCACGUUCGUUAGGACGAACGGUCCGGCGAACGGUCCAAAGGCAACUAAAUCGGAGAAGAAAACGAAUCCGAUCUAGGGUUUCGGAGAAGAAAACCGAACGAAAAACCGAUCUAGAAAACCGGAACGGUUUAGAGAAGAAAAGAAUCGGAACGAUUAGAAGAAAACGAUCCGAGAAAAAGAAUAGAUGUAGCGCAGGGCUACCUCCGGCGAGGUCUCCGGCGAGGGGCUCCAUCGGCGGUGGCGUAGGGCGGCGGCGGCGGUGAGGCGGCGGCGCGGCUAGGUGCGGCGGCGGCGGCGGUGACGCAGGGCGCGGGCGGCGGCUUAGGGCGGCGCGCAGGUGAGGGGCGGCGGCGUGGCGUGUGGUGGAGCUCUAGGCUUUGGGUUUGAUGAUUUAGAGGGGGGUGCUUGGGUAUUUAUAUGGGUGAGGGGAGACAAAACUUGGGGUAGAGGGCAAGGAAUUAGACUAGGAUUAGGAAUAGAAAAGAGGGAAGGAAAAGAUCUAGAAAUAGAAAAGGAAUAUACGGAAGUAGGACCAAAGUCCUACUAGGAUUCGGUACUAGCAAGAGGCGGCGGCGGCCGGCCGGCUCCUGGCGCUGCUACAUGCUGCGCGCGCAGGGAGGCUGAGGCGGUGGCUGGCUGGGCCUUGGCCCGACUGGGCCUAUGGUAAGUUUUUUUUUAAACGGUUCAGCGCGCAGAAAAAAAACAAAAAGAGAACUAAACGAACUCCGAAAAAUCUAAAGUAAAUUUUCCCCGACUCCUAAAAAUGAGCCGAACAAAAUGAACUUUUCUCCGGACCUAAAAUGCAAUUUUCGAAAACGCGCAUUUUUCCCUAUCCAAAUAAAAUGCAAAUAAACACCGGAAAACAAAAAUUGAUCUAUUUAUUAUAUCUUCAUUUUUCCUAAAUUUGGGAAAGUCAUAUUAUUCCCUCUCUCAUAUAUUUUGACACCAGAAAAAUUAUUGAAGAUAAAAUAAAUAAAUCAAAUGAUCCUCUUUUCAAAAUUCGAGAAAACUCUCAAAUAUGAAAAUAAUGAAAUCUCCAACUCUCUCCGAGGGUCCUUGAGUUGCGUGAAAUUUCUAGGAUCAACCAAAAUGCAAGAAAAUAUGCUAUGCAUGAUGAUCUAGUGUAUAACAUUCCAAAUUGAAAAUUUGGGAUGUUACAAACCUACCCCCCUUAAGGUGAAUCUCGCCCUCGAGAUUCGGGUUGGCUAGAAAAUAGGUGAGGGUGGUCCUUGAGCAAAUAUUCUUCUCUCUCCCAGGUGGCUUCAUCCUCUGAAUGGUGGUUCCACUGAACUUUGCAAAACUUGAUAACCUUGCUGCGAGUAACUCUACUGGCAAACUCGAGAAUCUUGACUGGCUUCUCCUCAUAUGUUAAGUCAUCCUUUAACUGAAUCACUUUUAAUGGCACUGUAUCUCUUAGCGGUACCUCCGCCAUCUUGGCGUGACAUCUCUUCAGCUGAGAAACAUGGAAUACAUCAUGAACUCCUGACAGUCCUUCUGGUAAUUCCAACUUAUACGCGACUUCUCCCAUGCGUUUCAAAAUCUUGUACGGUCCAACGAAAUGCGGUGCUAACUUUCCCUUAACUCCAAAGCACUUAACUCCUCGAAGUGGGGAUACUCGGAGAUAAACUCUGUCUCCGGUUUCGUAAACUGUCUCCUUGCGUUUUGAAUCUGCGUAGCUCUUCUGCCUGGACUGGGCUACCUUGAGCCUAUCGCGAAUCAACUUAACUUUCCGUUCAGACUCCUUAAUCAAAUCUGGUCCAAAGAAUUGACGGUCUCCAACUUCGUUACUGUUGUCAUGGAACAAAACUAUUAUCUGAUACGAUACUCCUCGGAACUCCACGCAAACAAAUGAUCCUAGUCAUGUAUAUCUUCGCCAACUUAGCACUGGUGUACGUGGCCUUGACUGGAAUAAAAUGUGCUACCUUCGUCAAACGAUCAACUACUACCCAUAUCGAGUCAUAUCCUACUUUUGUCCUGGGUAGUCUUGUGAUAAAAUCCAUGCCUAUCUUAUCCCACUUCCAUUCGGGUAUCGGCAAUGGCUGUAACAAUCCUGCUGGCUUCUGAUGCUCUGCCUUUACUCUCUGACAUAUAUCACAAACUGCUACAUAUGCUGCAAUAUCCUUCUUCAUUCCGGUCCACCAGAAUGUUUCCUUUAAAUCCAAAUACAUCUUGGUAUUCCCUGGGUGAAUCGAAUACGGUGAAUCAUGUGCCUCUUGCAAAAUCAACUUCCUGAUCUCCGGGUCAUUGGGCACAUAAACACGGUCCUCAAACCAUAAGGUAUCGUGCUCAUCCUCACGAAAUCCCUUAGCUUUUCCUUUGCUAAGUUUCUCCUUUAUAGCAGCAAUCUCUUUGUCAGAUUUCUGAGCUUCUCUGAUCUUAUCCAUCAAUUUUGACUGAAUCUCCAAUGCUGCUACAUAGCCUCUCGGAACUAUUUCCAAACAUAGCUCACGAAGGUUUUCUGCCAACUCCUUUGGUAUUUUCCCCGUCACCAGGGUGUUGACAUGGCUCUUACGGCUCAAUGCGUCAGCUACUACAUUAGCUUUUCCGGGAUGAUAAUGUAAUCUCAUGUCAUAAUCCUUGAUGAGCUCCAACCAUCUCCUAUGUCUGAGGUUCAACUCCUUCUGCAUGAAAAUGUACUUCAAACUCUUGUGAUCCGUGUACACCUCACAAUGAUUUCCAAUGAGGAAAUGUCUCCACGUUUUCAACGCAUGCACUACGGCUGCUAACUCCAAAUCAUGCGUGGCAUAAUUCAACUCAUGAGGCUUCAGUUGUCAUGAUGCAUACGAAACAACUCUCCCUUCCUGCAUAAGCACUGCUCCAAGUCCUCGACGUGAAGCGUCGCAAUACACCUCAUAAUCCUUGGUCUGAUCUGGCAAAAUCAAUACCGGUGAGGUAACCAAUCGUUUCUUCAACUCCUGGAAACUAGCCUCACACUCCUCAGUCCAUUUGAACUUAGUAUCCUUCUUCAACAAUUCAGUCAUAGGCUUUGCAAUCUUUGAAAAGUUCUCAAUGAAUCUCCGGUAGUAUCCUGCGAGUCCAAGAAAACUCCGGAUCUCUCCAACUGUUGUUGGUGCUUCCCAUUCGGUUACGGUCUCAACCUUUGUGGGGUCAAUUGCUAUACCUUCUCCGGAUAUAACGUGUCCGAGGAAUCCAACUUCCUUCAACCAAAACUCACAUUUGCUGAAUUUGGCGUAUAACUGAUGUUCCCUUAGUUUCUCCAAAACCAAACGCAAAUGUUCCUUAUGCUCCUCUUCAUUCUUCGAAUAAACUAGGAUGUCAUCAAUGAACACUACGACGAACUUAUCCAAAAACUCCAUAAACACUUUGUUCAUCAGGUUCAUAAAAUAGGCAGGUGCGUUAGUCAAUCCAAAUGACAUGAAGGUAUACUCAUACAGUCCAUAUCUUGUGGUGAAUGAUGUCUUAGGUAUGUCCUGCUCUCGAAUCUUCAAUUGAUGGUACCCUGAUCGCAAAUCGAUCUUGGAAAACACUUUAGCUCCUUGCAACCGAUCAAACAGAUCGUUGAUCAUUGGCAGUGGGUACUUGUUCUUGAUGGUUACUUCAUUCAAUCCACGAUAAUCAACAACCAUCCUUAAUGAUCCAUCCUUCUUUUCCACUAGAAGUACGGGUGAUCCCCAAGGCGAAGAACUUGGGCGGAUGUAACCUUUAUCCAAUAACUCCUUAAUCUGAUUCUUAAUUUCCACCAAAUCCUUUGCUGGCAUCCGGUACGGUCGCUUCGAUAUUGGGCCUGUACCUGGCAAUAACUCAAUCAAAAACUCAAUGUCUCUAUCCGGUGGCAUGCCUGGCAAUUCCUCAGGAAAUACAUCAGGAAAAUCCUUUACCACUAGUACUUCCUCCUGCACAACUCCUGUUAGGCAGUUUACUUGUGUCCUGUUUGGCACAUGCCGGGAUACAUACUUGAUCCUUCUUCCUUCUGGUGUGGUAAGCAAAAUUGUCUUACUGGCGAAAUCGAUGUUUCCUCCAUACAUCGACAGCCAAUCCAUACCAAGACUCACAUCCAACCCUUGGGAUUCCAGAAUAAUUAAAUCCAUUGGGAAUACAUGCCUUCCUAUACUCAAUGGCACUUGGAAACAUCCUUGUCUGGCCAUGUAUUCUGCUCCUGGCGAGCUUACUAGCAUAGGUGUUUUAAGAAUCCUAGUGGGCAGGCUAUACUUUUCCACAAAUCCCCUUGAUAUGUAUGAAUGCGAUGCACCAGUAUCAAAAAGAACGAGUGCAGUAAAUGACUUAACCAAAAACUUACCUAUUACUUCGGGCUGAUCUUCAAUCUCCUCCACAUUAACGUGGUUCACCUGUCCCCUAUUGAAAGGGUUUGGCUUCUUCCCAGAGCUUCCAUUGCCAUUUCCAUUCUGGCCUUCGGGACAUUCAUUGGCAUAAUGUCCGGUCUUCGAACACUUGAAACAGGUGACUUGACUCAGGUCUCUCUUGGUUGGGGUCGAUGGGAUUGUCCGGUUCUGGCCGUUGCUUCCUCCAUUCCCAUUACCAUUCUUGUGGCCAUUAUGGUUGUGCGAGCUACCUCCACCAUGGGUGUGCUGAAACUUAAAUCCUGGUUUAGGGGUAAAACGGGGCUUCUGCUGGGCUCCAGAGUUAUACUUCCCCUGUCCAUACUUCCUCUUACGGUUCUCAAUCUGCUGUUGCUUCCCUUCAAUCAUGAUGGCACGAUCUAUCAACUCCUGGUAGUUGUUGAAAAUCGCUACCAUCAACUGCAUGCUUAGUUCAUCAUUCAGUCCUUCCAGAAACUUGUCCUGCUUAGCUGCAUCCGUAGCAACGUCAUCUGGGGCAUAACGUGCUAACUUACUAAACUCCUCCACAUACUGGCCAACUGUCCUUCCUCCUUGGCGUAAGUUGCGAAACUCACGCUUCUUUAUGGCCAUAGCUCCUGCUGAAACAUGGGCAGUGCGGAAAGCUUGCUGAAACUGAUCCCAUGUGACAGUGUCAACUGGGUAAGUGGCUGUGAAAUUCUCCCACCAUGCUGUCGCGGGUCCGUCAAGUUGGUGAGCGGCAAACUUCACUUUCUCACCAUCCGUGCAUCCUGCAGUGGUCAACUCCCUUCCUAUCUUGCGGAGCCAAUCGUCUGCUACUAUCGGCUCGGUGCUAUUGGAAAACACCGGCGGGUUCAGCCUAAGGAAACGGGCUAAGUGGUCAACAGGUGGUGGUGGUGGUGGGUUGUUGUUGUUCUGCUGGUUCUGGACUAACAUCUGCAUCAACUGAUUCUGUUGCUGGAUCAACUGAGUGAGCUCCGGUGGAAAUCCAUUUUCACGUCUUGGAGGCAUCUGAGGGUUUAGAAAAGACGAGAAUUAAGAAUAGAGGGGGUCUAAAGGGAAAACACUACCCAUAUGCACAUGAGCAAAUGCACACAAAAUCACUUCAAUCAAUCAAACAAGGGCUUACAAACGGUCUAUCUAUCGCAAAAGUGCUCGACUAUAUUGUGUUUACAUGGGGGAAUACUACUACUAUCUGGUGGUCAUCUAGAAAUUUGAACCGGUGGAAGACUCCAUGAUAUCUGCUCCAGCUUCGUCUUCAAAGUCGGGUUCACUUGGAUCCGAAUCGGUGUCAUCGAUGAUGAUGUAGUUGUUCGGACAUGCGACGUACUCGUCUUCUUCCUUGGAUCCUAACUUCCUCUUGAGUUUUUCAAUCUCCUGCUUCAGAUCGCCAUUGUGUCUUGCUAGAGCUACGAUCUUGUCCAUGUAGUCCUUGCGUGUAGACUUCAGUUCUCCUUCUAGCUCGAUGAUCCUUGCCUUCGCAUUCUUCAACUCUAUCAUGUCAUUGCACAUCUGGUUCUCGUGGCGUCGAAUGUGCUGGUUUAACUCCUGGAUGAAAGAUGCAAUGGAUCUAUCCUUCUUGGUGCUGACUAACUCCCAUUGUUCAUCCCGGCGUCCGCAAAUCUGGUAGAUAGUGUCCUUGAGGUCUUCUUGGUAAACUUCUCCAAUGCGUCCUAUGGUGAUAUGAGCGGCCAUGCUCCUUCCCAGACUCCAGGUUGGUGCAUUGAAAACACUAUCUAUGGGUUUCGUGAUUGGCGCGAAUGUCCUUCCCGGAACGUGAGCUUGAAUCUUCCAGCGCUCCUCUUCAGGCAGAGUGGCGUUGAAGGUUCCCGUGAAGCUUGGUAAUCCAAUGUUCAGGUACUUGGUGACUUCUGGAUUUCGCUUGAAGGAAGUCUAAAAGGUGUGCCUUCAUCCGGUUGAGCAUACUUAAUCUUCGUGUCCUUCAUCCUAAUAGAGUAGAAAAGAUGAGGAGUAGAAAAUGAGAAGAGAAUGGUAAUCUAUGGCUUUAACUUAGUGGUCGUGUCCUACAGUCAGCGUGUGCUCUGAUACCAUCUCUAUACCGACCUGACCCGAAUGGAUCACGUCUACUGUGCUAUGGUAUCAUCCCUGGAUCAGUAAUGCUGACACCACACAGUACAUCGAGGUUUUAUAGCAGAGUUGCAAUCACACACUUAUUACAUCGAUGGCUCAAAAAGAACUUAUUACAAUAAAUAUGGCUUAAGGCCAUCUAAUAUCAAUAACAGCGGAAGACUCGGAAGAUAAAUGGGUCCAUCAACUCCAACGGCAUCACUGAGUAUAGGGCCACGACCUAAAAGCACCUCAAUCAUCGUCUGAAAAGUCUGCAACAUUAAUGUUGCAGCCCGAAAAUGGGUCAGCACAUGGAAUAUGCUGGCAAUGUAACACAUAGAGAGUAAUGGAAUGAAACAGCUAUACUAUAUGCAUAUAUGGCUGGUGGAAAGCUCUAUGGUUACAGUUUUGCGUAAAGCCAAUUUUUCCCUACUGCAAAGGAAUAAAUUUAUUUAACUAUCAUGGUGGUUGUGAAACAUUGAGAAUGGUUGACAUCAUUCUCAAUCCCAAUUAAAAAUAAUUAAACCCAACAACAUUAAUUAGAAGUAACAUGUUGAGAUUCACUCGAUAUUCAAGUACUAGAUACUCAAGUUGUCCAUAACCGAGGACACGGCUAAUCAUGAUUAGUUUGUACACUCUGCAGAGGUUUGCGCACUUUUCCCCACAUGACUCGAUCGCCUCCGUUUGGUUUCUCGCACUACAUGGUGUUUGAGAAACGGAUGACCGAGACAUAGUCUUUCAGAAGCACUAGCUCCUUACAUGUGGGGUAGACCGGUACACCUACAUCCCCUACAUCUGCUAGUACACCCCGUAAGAGUUCGCACAACUUAGUCAACUAUGCCAGAGCCCAUAGUGGCAUGUGGCUGCACACGGAAGUUUCUAGCAUGAAAGAUCUUAUGAUCCCUUUGGGCCUGGGUGGCGGUCCAAAAAAAUAGGCAAGUCCUGAUAGACAUCAGGUGCCUCAAUCCACCCAGAUGUGUGUUAGGUUGCCACCUUAGAUAAACCAUUAAAAUUAUCAAUCUCACAUCUGUCAUGGAUAUCACUCACCCAAUCCACGUCUACUAGCAUAGCAUGGCAUAAUAAGCAAACGUAGAGUAACUCCCAAAGGUUUCAUAAUAAUACAGGUAAUAGGUACUACCUCAUCUACUUCCCAUCCCACGAUUUAAUUAGAUCCUAAUCAUGCAAAGGUGAGAGGAUUGAUCUAAUGCAAUAAAACAUGGGUUGUAGAAAAGGUAUGAUCAAAGUGUUACUUGCCUUGCUGAUGAUCCGCGAGUCCUAGGGUUUCGAAGUAACAGGCGGCGCAAUCCGGGUAAUCUAUCGCAGACAAACAACAAGCAUACAAUAAGUACUCAUCUAAUGCACAGGUAAAACUCGAACAAGAGAUCGAACCAGAUAGUUCAACUUAAGAACUCCGGUUGCAAAGAAAGAACGAAAAACAAACGGCGGAAGAAAACAACUCGGUUCUAGCAAGUUGAAACUAG
This 8264-nucleotide long non-coding RNA is filed under the name Triticum aestivum (bread wheat). RNAcentral's name for it is "long non-coding RNA (TAES_LNC005320)". Lineage: Eukaryota; Viridiplantae; Streptophyta; Magnoliopsida; Poales; Poaceae. The record is from RNAcentral.